UGGUCUCAUGGGUAUGUUUUGAUUUUUUUUCUGAUGAUUUUCUUAUACAGUAUGAAUUUUGUUGCUCUUUUGCUGCGGCAACAAGGUGGUAAAACCAACUAUAGAGUAUCAUGUGAAAACCCUGACAAAGCUACUUAGCCGAAAACAAAGAUAGCUAUCAUGAAGGAAAGUAAAUUGAAAUGCUAACAGCCUAAACUUUUUCAAGAAAUGUGACAGCUAAAUGAUGUCUAUAGAUAGAGAUGACUCAUGCUACGAAAACCAUACACAAGUGAAUCAUGUCAUUGCCAUAGGCAAAGGCAGUUAUUACAGUGCCUACAGAACCAUGUUCAGAUAGUUAUCGCGGUGCCUACAGAACCAUGAUAUUGCCUUCAGUUAUCCUACUGAAAUAGCUAAUUCAUGACCACACCUAUUGCAACCUUUCCACAUGGCUUAGACAAAUUUGUCGUAACGAGGACAUCAUUUGUUUGGCUUCGUUUGGAAAGAUCAGAUGCAAAGACUGCCGACACCACUGCUAAGCUGUCAGUAACUCAGCAUCCAGAAUCAAAUGGAGAUGGAAGCAGUUCACAGCUUAAUUAAUACCUGACUUGAAUCCCCAUUUUUGUCCCAAUCUUAGCUGGAACUUCCUCGAUGGAUGAGGAAAGAAAAAUUCGGGAUGCCGGAUGGGAGAGGAUGGGCGUAAAAAGAGAGGGCACAAAUACACAGUCCUGGGUUCCUGGCAAUUACCCAAAUCUUGAAAACUCACCGUGACGCCAUCAUAGCCUGUGAGGUGAAACAUCAUGUGCUAGAGCAGCGCCAUCUUGGCCGGGGGAGAGUAAGAAGCAGUUGCGGCUGAUGCGUAAUCGCCUAUAAGCUCGAAUAGCUCGCAGUUGCACCACCCAAUCAGGAGAAGUGGGCUAGCUGUUUCUUUUUCCUCGCGAACGUGCGACCAGUUUCAUUUAAUAGAGAUUGACCAGGGCCCACCCAUGUGCUGCGAGUAGUAAUUGAUUUACAUCAGUUUUACGGGUGCGAACGGACCAACAAAAAGAUUACAUCGACAUGGUUUGGGCGGUGAACCUUGGCUCAUGGAUUGAUUGGGGUGAAGAAUAAGUAAUUCUUCCACCAGUCACAUAUAUGAUUAGUUUACUUACUUUACGACCUUUUAGAAAAUUCAGAUCAGCGUUUAGUGUUUUAGGUUCAGUUCAGAGCAAACACUAUGAAGGUUUAGGAUGUGUUAUUUUAGCUAAUGAGAAUAUUUACCCUUGGUCGCUACAGUUCAUUGCAAUUAUUUUUUCAUUGUAUUUCAUCAUUGUGGGAAGCAUAUUUUUAGUUCUUGCUACAUAAUUGUCCAUUGAUUAUGCUAAAUUAUCUAUCUAAAAGAAUCUCAGACACGUUCCAUUUGUUUACUACUUACUCCCAACUUGUGUCUUCUAUGAACAGGAAAUGAUCUCAAGUCCACCAGUCAGAUUUUCAGCGUGGUCGCCGCAACGGUGGGCGUCGGGCUGCUACUGGCCUUCCUUGGGCUUGCAGUGACACCGACGGCGUCCCUCAUGCACAGCGCUUCGAUGUCAAGUUGCAGCGCCACCACUGAUGACGUGGCACGGCUGUACGCACGGGUGGGCGUGGGGCUGGCAAUCGCUGUUACACAGUUCCUCGCGUCGCUCGUUGGUGCCAGUGGAAAGGAAGAGACGGCGGAGCCACGCGUGCCUGUCAUGCGCCGAGUCUGCGUUUUCGUUGCCGCUCUGUCGCAGCUAGGUUUGACCGUCAGCGUCUCUUGGAGUCUGAUCCUCGCAGUUUCACCGCGCUUGGGUCAGAUGCGCUGUUGGCCACAGGUGACGAGGGACUUGUUGCUGACCGGGCUGGACGGGCAUUUCCUCCGCCUUGAGCGCGUACCUUGUUUACAUCGGCUUGGCCUGUGUGUUUGGGACCGGCUGAUGAUGGUAGGUUACAUGGUAACUCUUCUCUUGAAAUACUACCCAUCUAAUUCGAACAUCAUGCAUUGUACUCCCUCCGUCCAAAAAAGCUUGUCCCAAGCUGACACUCAAAUGGAUGUAUCUAGCACUAACUUGGUGAUAGAUACAUCCAUUUGAGGGACAAGUUUUUUCGGACGGAGGGAGUAAUGCCUAAUGAUUAUGUUCUGUCCUAUGUGCAGGGGAGUUCCAAAGCUCGUGCAAAGGCCUAGUGGUACUGUGUUUCUUAUGGAUUUGGUAGACCAGGGUGUGUGCUGGUCGAUCAUGUCGGCACUGUUGUGAUUCCACUUUGUUUAUGUGCAUUUGGUUUAUAAUAGUUGGACUUGUGCGUGGAUAGAUUCGAUUUGGUGUGGUUUCUGCUGGCACAUGGGAUUUAAUGUGAUUUGCCUCCUUAUAUCAUAUGUAGCUUGUUAUGAUGGUUGUGAGCUUGGUGGAUUUUGUCCUGCUGCGGGCAGAGGGCAAUGUUGAAUUGUGUUGACAGCUUGGAUGAUACUCAGCUUCUCGAGCUUUGUUGUGCUGUGCUAGACAAGACAGAAGCCGCCAUGUUUCCCUUUUUUUUCAUUUUGAUUUUUUUAGUGAAAAUCUAGCUCUCUUUAUUACUCAAAAGAAAGGGGUACAAUAUAAGUAGCUGGUGAAUUCAGAAGCCACACCUGACGACCAUACCUAACAAAAAUUAAAAUUGCGAGCUAGAUUAUGAGCGUGUGUAUUUGACGCCCGUAAUAUAUGCCAUCAUAACUGCGACAGAUAGUUGCGACCACUCCUCUAUUAUCGUUUCUCAAAACAGCUGCAUCAACGUUAAUCUUCAUCAUAUGUUGGGGAGGGGGAUCCAUCUUGGGGACAUGGAUCGUCUGACGUACUGCAGUGUGCAAUUCGGUCACUGACAUGUGGGCUCGUCUGCCGGAUGGCGCACAUGUCAGUGACCCAACUGCACCCUGCAGCACGUCAGGGGAGUUGAGUCAACCCCCCGUGGAUCGCCUGUCAUCCGGACAACCAGCCCAGUCGGCAUCAGAGAAGGCCGAGAGCUCAUAUGACGGUGCAGGCUGAAGAUGCAGACCAUAGGCAGCAGUACUACUGACAUAGCGCAAAAUACGCUUGACGGCUGACCAGUGAGACGUCCUGGGUGCAUGCAAAAACUGACAGACACGGUUAACUGCAUAGGAGAUAUCAGGCCUGGUGAUAGUGAGAUAUUGCAGACCACCAACAAUACUGCGAUACUCAGUAGCAUCAUCAGCCGAGAGAGAGUCACCAUCAAGAGCAGACAACCGAUCAGUAGCAGACAUCGGAGUGAAAACAGGUUUGCAUUUGAGCAUUCCAGCACGACGCAACAAGUCCAAGGAGUACUUCUUCUGAGUGGGAGUCAAACCUGUAGAGGACCGUGAAACCUCAAGACCAAGGAAAAAGUGAAGAGCACCCAAAUCCUUGACAGCAAAAUCAUCACGAAGAGCAACCACAAGGUGAUCAGCUGCAGCAGCCGAAGAACUGACAAGGAUGAUAUCAUCAACAUAAACCAGGAUAUACAUCGUAACCUCAGGGCGCUGGAGGAGGAACAGUGAUGUAUCAGCAGUGGAUGGAGUAAACCCAAGAGCCCGAAGAACAGAUCCAAGGCGAGCAUGCCAUGCACGAGGAGCCUGUUUCAGUCCAUACAGCGCCUUGACCAGAUGACAGAGAUGAUGAGGUCGUGUCGGAUCAACAAAACCAGGCGGCUGACGCAUAUAAACCUCCUCCUCCAGAAUGCCAUGGAGAAAGGCAUUCUGUACAUCAAGCUGACGAAGGAACCAUCCACGAGUAAUCGCAAGAGACAGUAGUAACCGAAUGGUAGUAGGCUUGAUAACUGGACUGAACGUGUCUUCAUAAUCAAGACCAUACCUCUGUUUGAAGCCCUUGGCGACUAACCGUGCCUUGUAACGCUCAAUGGAACCAUCAGCAUGGCGCUUGACCUUGAAAACCCACUUGGAAUCAAUGAUGUUGACGCCAGACUUUGGAGGAACAAGACGCCAAGUAUCAUUCUGUUGGAGGGCAUGAAACUCUUGUUCCAUUGCAGCACGCCAAUGAGGAAUACUCAACGCAGCCUGAAAAUGACGAGGCUCUGCAUUAGGGUCACCAGCAGUAUGAGCCAUGCACGCAGCAAGCCACGCAACCGUGCCAUCUGUCCGCUCUUUCGGGCGAAACACACCAGACUGGCUCCGUGUGCGCGGUCGAAGUGUGACGGCAGAAUCUGCCGGAGCCGGAGCUGGAGCAGAAUCAGCAAAGGUCGUGGACGAGGCCGAAGCCGAGUCCGGCGAGUCAGGCUCCCCGGUGGCCGAGGCAGGCGACGAGGCUGCUGGGCUAGCGACAGCACCGGCCGGCCCAGGGGACGCCCCCGCCAGUGGCCCAGGCGAGCCACACAAGGCUGGUGACGCCCGCGAGCCAGGCGAGCCGAGCGAGGGUCCCGCUGGUGUGGACGAGGCUCGCGGGUCGGGCGAGGUGGCCACUGGCGAAGCCUGCGAGCCGGGCGAGGCGGCUACUGGGGUGGCCGGGUCCUGCGAGUCGGACGAGGCGGGCGAGGCACCCGCCACUGGCGCUGGCGUGGGUGAGCCAGGCGGGCUGACCGCCUCGGGCGACUGGAGAGCGGGUUGGCGGGUGCCACCCGUUAUGCAUGGCACAUGCACGUCCCGACCAGAAGAAUCAUCGGCGACCUGUUCAUCAAGGAGCUCGAGCCGAGCACCGCGUCCAAUACCUGCUGCAUGAUUAGGAAGCAACGCAGGGGCAUAUGCAACAUCCACAAACUGAUCAGGCGUAGGUGUAGACACAUGCAUUGGUGGUGUGGAAGUGGAAGUGGUGAGGUCAGUCGGAAGUGCACGAAAGGGAAACACAUUUUCAUCAAACACAACGUCACGAGAGAUGUAGACACGGUUGGUAGGAACAUUUAAGCACUUGUACCCUUUGUGAAGAGAACUGUACCCAAGAAAGACACACUUCUUAGACCUGAACUCUAGCUUGCGCUUGUUGUAUGGACGGAGAUGAGGCCAGCAGGCACACCCAAACACCUUGAAGAAAGUGUAGUCCGGAGUCUCAUUAAGCAAGAGCUCAAGCGGAGUUUGCAUUUUCAGAAGCCUCGAGGGUAGCCUGUUUAUAAGAAAACAAGCUGUAGAGAAAGCAUCACUCCAGAACCGAAACGGGACGGAGGCAUGAGCUAGCAAGGUUAAGCCAGUUUCAACAAGAUGACGAUGCUUACGCUCAGCAGCACCAUUCUGCUGAUGUGUGUGAGGGCAUGACACGUGGUGCGAGAUCCCAAGCUUAUUAAAAAACGAGUUGAGGUUGUGGUAUUCACCCCCCCAGUCGGAUUGGAUUGGACAUGGAUGAUUUUGUGCUUAAGAAGGCGCUCAACGUGUGCUUGAAACUGAAUGAAGACAUCAAACACAUCAGACUUUCGCUUAAUAAGAUAUAACCAAGUGAAACGGCUGUAAGCAUCAAUGAAACUGACAUAAUAAUUGUGACCACUAACGGAUGUCUGGGCAUGACCCCAUACAUCAGAAAACACAAGCUCAAGAGGAUGUUUCACAACACGACUAGACUCUAAAAACGCAAGCUGAUGACUCUUGCCCUGCUGACAGGCAUCACAAAUUGUUUCAGCAGUUUUAUUGGACACAACUGGUAGAUCAUGACGAUGCAAAAUAUGUCGAACUAUGGGAGUCGCCGGGUGACCAAGGCGCGCAUGCCAGUGUGUAGGCGACACACGAACACCACUGAACACCUGAGGAGAGGACGACGUGGAAGAGGAGCGCGGCGCAUCAAGUGCAUACAGGCCAUGGCGAAGACGACCGCUAAGCAGAACGGCCCUCGUGUCCCGAUCCUUGAUAAAGAAACGAAAGGGGUGAAACUCAGCAAGGACAUUGUUAUCACGAGUAAGUUGAGGAAUGGACAACAAACUACGUGUAGCAGAAGGAACACGAAGGACAUUAGAUAGAUGCAAUGUGCGAAAGUUGUGUGCAAGGAGAGAAGCCUGACCAACAUGAGAGAUGCGCAUACCUGCUCCACUAGCGGUGUGCACCUGAUCAUGACCGCGAUAUGGCUCCUGAGUAGAGAGCUUACCCAUCUCACCGGUGAGGUGGUUGGUAGCUCCAGUGUCCAUGUACCAUGCAGGAUCAACGGAGUAUGACGAAGUGCGACCAUGAUCAUGACUCGUCACAGCAGCGGCGGCCUGCUUGUCGUUCCCCUUUCCGUUGUUGCCAAGGCCCAGAAAAUCCUGCUUGUAGCGACGAUGACAGCGAGAGGCAAUGUGGCGCUCCAAGCCACAUAGCUGGCACGCCUGUUGGGUACCACAAGAAGAACAACACGCCACGGGCCGGUUACCACCUGUGAUGGUCGGAGCGCUGCCCCUCGAAGCCUGUGAUGAGGGCAGCGCUGGUUUGCCUCCGGACGAGGAUGACCGCUGAGGCUUGCCGCGAGUUGCGGUAUUGGCGGAGGCGAAACUGGGAGAGGCUCGGCGCGCCUUGAUGCGCUGCUCGCGGCCAAGCAGACGGGCGUAGAGCUCACGAGGUGGUAGCGGGUCAUCGCGACCGUGAACGUUCUCAAUGAGAUUGUCAUAAUCAUCAUCAAGCCCAUUCAGUACGAAGGUGGUGAACUCCUGAUCCUGUAGCGACUGGCCGAUGGAGGCCAAUGUGUCGGCGAGACCCCGCAUUUUGUUGAAGUAGUCGGUGAUGCUGAGGUCACCAAGCUUCGUCUCACCCAACUCGGUGCGGAUAGAGUGAGCACGCGCCUGAGACUGAGAGGCAAAACUGGUGUGAAGCGCCGCCCACGCCUCCCGGGAUGUAGCGGCGAAGAUGACCAGCGACGAGACGCUCGGGGUGAGCGAGGACUGGAUGGCGGAGAGGAUGGCCUAAUCCUGGGCCACCCAGGUGUGGUACGCUGGGUGGUGGGGUGGUGGACACGGUAUGGACCCGUCAACAUAUCCCUCCAAGUAGCGGCUCCGCAGAAGAGGCAACACCUGGGCACGCCAGGACAAGUAAUUAUCCGGCGCAAGCUUCACCGGUAGCAGAUGUGAAAAGUAGAACGGUGACGACGCGGCGACCGGGUCGGUAUGAGCAGCAGACACCGGAUACAGUGCGGGAAACCCGGGAGGACCAGCAGCGUGGGCCCCGUAGGGCGGGAUGACCGCGGCCCCGGGAGGAUGCGGCUGUGGCGCGGCCGCAGCCCCGUACGACGGCUGUAGCGAGGCAGCCGCCUCUCCUGCGUAGGAGGCCGCAGCCCCGUGCGGCCCUGGGUAGGCUGCGUAGGGGUGCUGGGGAGGCAACGACGAAGAUCCAUAGGGGUGGCUCGGUGGCGCCGCCGGUGGUUGAUGUAGAGGCGGCGCACCAAACGCCGGCCACGAGGAUGGCAGCAGCGGCGGAGCACCAGGAGCCAUCGGAGGCGCGCCAUACGGGUAGUAGUCGUAGGGCGAGGGCGCGGUAGCGCCAUAGGCCGGCGGCGGGGCGGCGCCGUAGAGCGGCGGCAUCGGCCACGACUGGGGCUAGGUCAUCCGAGGUCUCGCCAUGCGGGCGAGAUUGGAUCGGGGACCCAGGCGGCGGCGGGGCCCCAUAGGCCGCCACGAGAGGCCCAGAGGCGAGGAACGGCGAAGAAGGGGCAAGGACCGGCGCGGCGGCGGCCGCGGCGACGGAGGUCGGCGCGACGGCGGCGGCGGCGGGAGCAGCGGAAGACAUCGUGAUCGUGACCUAAACUGAUACCAUAUAAAACAAGAUAUUUUGGGAACUGCACGACAUCCCUAACCGGGGUGUGGCUAUCUCAUUAUAUAGAGGUAUCCAAGGGGUACAAUACAACGUUACAAUACAGGGCUAUGUAUAUACAGUCUAACAGUGCCAGCCCACGUGUACGUACAUAGAGGCCAAUGGCUAUCUGGUUGCUCAUGUCUGGGGGUAACACGCCGGGUGAAGGGUUGAAAUCAGGAUUCACGGUGCCGGCCAUGACUAAAAAGGUCGCGCUGCUUUCCAAGUCGCGGACGCGUGCCGGCUUCCACACCGGCAGCAGUACAUACGCUCCACUGUACGACCCGUUCACAGCAAUCGCUAUAGCAAUCUGCACCAAAAUCAAAACCCAAGUCCACAACUUAACUUGUCUCGGGAUCAACAAAUUGCAAGUGCAAAAUGCAUAUGGAACGGUGAGUGUAUACAAACUUCGUAAGAGAGAGAGAGAGAGAGACCUCAGGUCUGGGCUCCGCAGGAGCAUCGCCAUUGUCAUGGAGCGGUGUUGGCAAAAGACCCGUGCGGUGAGGAAUGGAGGGGUUCUCCCUCACGAUGGGGAUGCUCCCCAUGGGGCAUUGCCUUGUGCUUUUGUGCCAUUCCUGCUCCACCACCACCGCGUGCGUCUCCUCCUCGUCUUGUUGCUCUGCCAUGACGCGGGCUAUAUCUCUCAUUAUCUGCAUGCAUCCUGCUUUAGUGUCAGGCGUACACAGGUUCGUAGAUGAACUAUAGAUCCACUUCUUACACUGCGUCGCUUGUUUCAAAAGAAAAAAAGGUGUGUAGUAUGUAUGCAUAAAAAUUGGAUAUGAAGGAUGAAGGCAGAACGUUGCCAAAAAAUUCACUGGCUAAUUAUUUAAAUGCAUUAUUUAAGGAUCAUCAACCUGGUGUUUGAUGUCCUUUAACAAUGGGUUAUUAAGGCUCGGUUGCUUGUAGAUUUCACCGCAAUCGAUUGUUUCACCAUUUUUGCUCUGCAACAUGCAUACAUACAUGUCAGAAACGGAACAAAAUGCAAUGGGGGUAUGCACAUAGAUACAACGGCAUGUCAGAAACGGAACAAAAUCAAAAGAGAAGGUAAAUUAUCAGAUGGAGACCAUACGUACCUUUAUGGUCAUCUUAAUGUCUUUGGGAUCGAGUUGUACCGCAGCAUCAAAAACCACGGCUUGUGUCAGCUCUGCUACGAAAACUAAGUGCAGAAGUAAGGAGUACCAUUGCAAGGUCAUUGUCAAUGUCGCUGAAUCUAUAUUAUUUUUGUGUUCUGACUGAAACCUGAGAUCAACCAAUCAAUGGAUGCACCACAUAUAUAGGCCGGGAACAGUACUUCCUCAAUUUCACACAACACCUGUUGGUCUUUUUUUUACCACUAAACAUAGUUGCCAGCCAAUGUUUAUUGACCAAAAUGUCCCUAUUAAAAGCAAUUUAUACCACAUGUGUUGAGAUAUACAAAUAACUCGGAGGGGUAUACUAUGGCAAAUUGGGAGAGUAUAUAUAUAUCAUUAUGAAAUACACUCAAGAGACAAACUAGCAUAUUAGUAUCUCAUACUAGCUGCUAGCUGGGUAUGAUUUGUAAUUUUGUACAAUGCAUAAUCUCUAUUCUUAAAGGUUGACUUGGUAUCUUCCCCUCCAUGGUUUAAUUUCGUCUGUGUUUUCNNNNNNNNNNNNNNNNNNNNNNNNNNNNNNNNNNNNNNNNNNNNNNNNNNNNNNNNNNNNNNNNNNNNNNNNNNNNNNNNNNNNNNNNNNNNNNNNNNNNNNNNNNNNNNNNNNNNNNNNNNNNNNNNNNNNNNNNNNNNNNNNNNNNNNNNNNNNNNNNNNNNNNNNNNNNNNNNNNNNNNNNNNNNNNNNNNNNNNNNNNNNNNNNNNNNNNNNNNNNNNNNNNNNNNNNNNNNNNNNNNNNNNNNNNNNNNNNNNNNNNNNNNNNNNNNNNNNNNNNNNNNNNAGUAGAUUUUUUUCUUCCUCCCAUUAAAAAACCAAAUAUAUACUUCUAAAGGGAAAGAACCCAAAAGCAAUCCUCUUUUUCUAAAAUCGGAUGCAAUCUUAUUAAAUUGAUUGGCUCUUUGUGAGUAUCAUGGGAAAAAUGCGUCAAAUCUCCCCCGAGAGAAGGAAUCUGGAUGCAAUACACUCUUUUCAUAAAUUGGGACACAAUCUGAUUAAAUUUAUUGACUCUUCAUCAGUGCCAUGACAAGAUGUAGAAAAUCUCUCCCGAGGGAAAUAAUACGCAAGAAAAUCUCUCUUUCCUAAAAUCGGAUGGAAUCUUAUAAAUUGAUUGACUCUUUAUGAGUGUCAUGAGCAAAUGCGUCAAAUCUCUCUGGAGGAAAAGAAUUCCGACGCAAUCCCCUCUUUCCAAAACUCGGGACACAGUCCAAUUAGAUUGAUUGACUCUCCCUUAGUGCCAUGCCAAGAGAGGAGAAAAAGGAACGCCACAUGUAAAUUGAUUAGAUUGAUGCGGAGAACCACAGGGCCACCCGGUGCCGGAUGGAUACUCCGAUGCGAAGUCAUGCAAGGGCGCGCUUGCCGCCUGCUGGAAGGGGAAGUCCAGGGUUGUGGAGGAGCGGCACUAUGGCACUAUGUCCUCUCCCUCACCGCCCCGACAACGGAAGUUCAGCACGGGUCGGCAGCCCAUGGCUGAGCUUGGCCAAGAGCGCACAUGGCACUGGCUCCUGAAAGGGGACUUGGUAGCUUCUCCUCAAUGGUUUAAUUUUUCUGUCUAUUUUUUCGCCUCACAUCCCACCACCAUCUAUUUUGUCUGUAUUUUUUUUACCUCACUUCCCACCAUCCCCUUACUCCCACUAAAACCAAAUCUCUACUACUAAAGGGAAAGAAUCCGGAAUCAAUCCUUUCUUUCUAAAUUGGAUGCAAUCUUAUUAAUUGAUGGGCUGAGUGUUGUGAGAAAAUGCGUCAAAUCUCUCCCGAGGGAAGGAAUCUAAGCACAAUCCCCUUUUUCCAAAAAUCGGGACGCAAUAUGAUUAAAUUGAUCAACUCUUCCUCGGUGUCAUGCCAAGAUGCAGAAAAUCUCUCCCGAGGAAAAGGAUCCGCAAGCAAUACUCUCUUUUCUAAAAUUGGAUGCAAUUUAUUUAAAUUGAUUGACUCUUUAUGAAUGUCAUAAGCAAAUGCGUCAAAUCUUUCGCGAUGUCGGGGUUAUAUAUACGGGGUAGGCCCAAAUAUAUAGAUGGCCCGCUAGAAGCCUAUGAACUAUACAAGAUACAGCUCGGAAAACCAUGGGCCAAGGGGCGUCGUCAUGAGUGAAGGAAAUAUGCCCUAAAGGCAAUAAUAAAGUUAUUAUUUAUUUCCUUAUUUCAUGAUAAAUGUUUAUUAUUCAUGCUAGAAUUGUAUUAACCGGAAACAUGAUACAUGUGUGAAUACAUAGACAAACAUAUAGUCACUAGUAUGCCUCUACUUGACUAGCUCAUUAAUCAAAGAUGGUUAUGUUUACUAACCAUAGACAUGUGUUGUCAUUUGAUUAAUGGGAUCACAUCAUUAGGAGAGUGAUGUGAUUGAUAUGACCCAUUCCGUUAGCCUAGCACUUGAUCAUUUAGUAUGUUGCUAUUGCUUUCUUCAUGAUUUAUACAUGUUCCUGUAACUAUGAGAUUAUGCAACUCCCGUUUACCGGAGGAACACUUUGGGUGCUACCAAACGUCACAACGUAACUGGGUGAUUAUAAAGGAGUACUACAGGUGUCUCCAAAGGUACAUGUUGGGUUGGCGUAUUUCGAGAUUAGGUUUUGUCACUCCGAUUGUCGGAGAGGUAUCUCUGGGCCCUCUCGGUAAUGCACAUCACUAUAAGCCUUGCAAGCAAUGUGACUAAUGAGUUAGUUGCGGGAUGAUGCAUUAUGUAACGAGAAAAGAGACUUGCCGGUAACGAGAUUGAACUAGGUAUUGGAUACCGACGAUCGAAUCUUGGGCAAGUAACAUACCGACGACAAAGGGAACAACGUAUGUUGUUAUGCGGUUUGACCGAUAAAGAUCUUCGUAGAAUAUGUAGGAGCCAAUAUGAGCAUCCAGGUUCCGCUAUUGGUUAUUGACCAAGAAUAGUUCUAGGUCAUGUCUACAUAGUUCUCGAACCCGUAGGGUCCGCACGCUUAAGGUUUCGAUGACAGUUAUAUUAUGAGUUUAUGAGUUUUGAUGUACCGAAGGAGUUCGGAGUCCCGGAUGAGAUCGGGGACAUGAUGAGGAGUCUCGAAAUGAUCGAGACGUAAAGAUCGAUAUAUUGGACGACUAUAUUCGGACUUCGGAAAGGUUCCGAGUGAUUCGGGUAUUUUUCGGAGUACCGAAGAGUUACGGGAAUUCGCCGGGGAGUAUAUGGGCCUUAUUGGGCCAUACGGGAAUAGAGGAGAGAGGCCGAAAGGAAGGAGGCGCGCAGCACCCCUCUGGUCCGAAUUGGACAAGGGAUGCGGCCCCCUUUUCCUUCCUCCUCUCCCCCUCUUUCCCCCUUCUCCUACUCCAACAAGGAAGGAGGGAGUCCUACUCCCGGUGGGAGUAGGACUCCCCUUGGCGCGCCCCUCCUAGGCCGGCCGCCCCCUCCCCCCUUGCUCCUUUAUAUACGGGGGCAGGGGGGCACCUCCAGGCACACACAAGUUGAUCUACGGGUCGUUCCUUAGCCGUGUGCGGUGCCCCCCUCCACCAUAUUCCACCUCGGUCAUAUCGUCGCGGAGUUUAGGCGAAGCCCUGCGCCGGUAGAGCAUCAUCAUCGUCACCACGCCGUCGUGCUGACGGAACUCAUCCCCGACACUUUGCUGGAUCGGAGUCCGGAGAUCGUCAUCGAGCUGAACGUGUGCUGAACUCGGAGGUGCCGUACGUUCGGUACUUGGAUCGGUCGGAUCGUGAAGACGUACGACUACAUCAACCGCGUUGUCAUAACGCUUCCGCUUACGGUCUACAAGGGUACGUGGACAACACUCUCCCCUCUCGUUGCUAUGCCAUCACCAUGAUCUUGCGUGUACGUAGGAAUUUUUUUGAAAUUACUACGUUCCCCAACAAUGAGAACAUGAAGGACUAGGGGGUUACUCAGGACCGCGCUAAGUCCCGCUAGCUGAGCGCUAGCAGUCGGUCGGAGGCGAAGGGAGUUGUCGGCUGGACCACGAAUCGGCGGCUACCUAGGAUACCUCUCCGCAACAAUGUCUUAAUGAUGGAAGUUACCCAAUGAUGAUAUAAUCUAGUUAAAUACGGCAGUUAUCAGUAGUAAAUACCGAACAAUUGGCCAAUCCUAAGGCCAUGAAUAACAUUACUACCAGCCCAUUAUGUACCCUACCUGGCGCACUCUAUAUAAGGCAGGAGGGAACAUUCGGGCUAGAAGUUGAACAUUCACACUUUGUACCUUACGCCAAGAGUUAAGAGCACCACAGGAGUAGGGUAUUACCUCCACCGCAGAGGGCCCAAACUUGUAUAAAUUCUUAAGCGUACUCCCAACAGCACCGUUUGGUAGAUAAGAUUGCCUCUAUAUUCCUACCCCCUACUAUUGUCAAGAUUAUAUCCACAACAAUUGGUGCCCGCCAUGGGGCAAGCGUCUAUCGAUGAUAUGGUGCAGUUGGCUUUAUCCUCAGUUUCGUCUGGCAGCAUCAACUUCGGGGAGCUCGAGUUCCCUAUCGAUGGAUCCGCGUGGCACCCGGACGCCCCAUUGAAUAGCGCCUACCCGCUGACAUGGGGUAGCAUUCACUACAGGGCCAAUGGCUCAGUGGUGUUUAGCUUGGAACUACCAUCAUCAUAGUCGGGGCACCUGGCGCCAUGUCAUCAACGAAAGUGAUCCGACAAACCUCGUCCUCAGUUUCAUUGUUCCUCGAGCUGGCUCGUUCUGAUUCAAUUUUUCCUCUCUUGGAGCCCACCACUUAGGGAGAGGAGACCUGCGGAUCACUGCCGUCUGCAGAAGAAGUCUUUAUGUCUGGUACGCCACCGCCUGANNNNNNNNNNNNNNNNNNNNNNNNNNNNNNNNNNNNNNNNNNNNNNNNNNNNNNNNNNNNNNNNNNNNNNNNNNNNNNNNNNNNNNNNNNNNNNNNNNNNNNNNNNNNNNNNNNNNNNNNNNNNNNNNNNNNNNNNNNNNNNNNNNNNNNNNNNNNNNNNNNNNNNNNNNNNNNNNNNNNNNNNNNNNNNNNNNNNNNNNNNNNNNNNNNNNNNNNNNNNNNNNNNNNNNNNNNNNNNNNNNNNNNNNNNNNNNNNNNNNNNNNNNNNNNNNNNNNNNNNNNNNNNNNGCCAAACGACUCCUUCACACCCUUAUCCCGGGUGAUUCCACAAAGGGCAUCAACUAGAGUGUGUCACCAACGAGACAUUGAUGUAUUUUACGAGACAUCGGGCAUGAGGGAGAUGCCGAAUGCAUAACGACAUGAGAAUAAGAUGGAUGAUACGUCUCCAUCGUAUCUAUUUUUCCUAACGAUUUUUCUCUUGUUUUGGAUAUAAUAAUUAUGAAAGAUGAUAAUGGUUACUUACAUGAGAACAGAAGAUUUUAUUUGAUGUCAAUUUGAUCAUAAGGUACUCCAUGGGUACAAAGGAUCUUUAAAAUACGGUCAACUAUUACAUCUUUCUUGGCCCCACAUAUAAUUUUGACUACCUUGAGAUGUUGCGAUAGAGAUGAUUGCCCACUCGAUUUAUAGCUUUGUUCCCUUAAGCUACGGCUUUCAUCUGUUUUUGUAAAAUGAUAUUUCUGUAGGAAACAAUUUUUUUUGUAAGUCAACAAAAGGUAACUUCAAAGACGAAAGCUAUGAUACUCAGAGAAUGUGUAUACCUCAGAAGUUCGAAGAUCAAGCUGAAGCAGAAGCGUCUCUAGAAUUGGUGCGUGCUGAAGAAAGUAAACCGAUCCAGUGAAGUCAUCAGCCACACACCAUUUAUUGAGCAACAGUGUUUUUAGCUUGCUAAACGUAUGGCCCCAUUUCAAAUCCACUCUGAAAAUAGAUACCUGCACAAAAUGAAGAUGGUUAAACACCGUUCAUAGCAAUCAAGUGUUACCAGAUACCGAGAAGUUGUACGUUGCAAGUUUCUAUUCUACUCAGAAAGAUGGCUCAGUCAUACAUGUUUGAAUAGUAUACAUGACUAAAGUAUCAAGUAGCUGCAUGCAUAAUAGCAGACACGUUCGUAGAAACAUCAAGGUUUAAGCAUGUGAAAUCGGUGAAAACAUGCAAUGGAAAUAAUGAGAUUGUUCAAUGUACUUGUACUCACAGAUAAUGGGCCUACCUGAUAAUUAUGAGAGUUACCAAAAAUGGGAGCAUACCUGAUAAUGAGCUGCUGUUAACUUCAAAUUCGUAGCACGGGACAAGCCUUCCAGAACCACAUCAAAAGAGCAUCCUUCACAUGUCUUAUCGUUUACAGACUCAACGAUGCGGUUUGCAGUAAUGGCAUGCUAUAAAGCAAAGGAGCCAGACCCUGAUAUAGCUCUAGUUUCAAGCUAAUGAGAUUUGGGGCAGAAAUACGGAGGCAGCUAUCAUAGUCAAAACAACGGCGCUAGGCCCCCGCGCUAGGUUUCCCUCCCCGCGCCGCCACCCGCGAGGCGGCCGGCGAGGGCCCCCAGAUCCGCUCGCCGCGCACCUCCCCUCCUCCUCCCUCGCCGCCGCCAGGGGGCGCGGCCGGGCGAAGCCCGACCNNNNNNNNNNNNNNNNNNNNNNNNNNNNNNNNNNNNNNNNNNNNNNNNNNNNNNNNNNNNNNNNNNNNNNNNNNNNNNNNNNNNNNNNNNNNNNNNNNNNNNNNNNNNNNNNNNNNNNNNNNNNNNNNNNNNNNNNNNNNNNNNNNNNNNNNNNNNNNNNNNNNNNNNNNNNNNNNNNNNNNNNNNNNNNNNNNNNNNNNNNNNNNNNNNNNNNNNNNNNNNNNNNNNNNNNNNNNNNNNNNNNNNNNNNNNNNNNNNNNNNNNNNNNNNNNNNNNNNNNNNNNNNNNNNNNNNNNNNNNNNNNNNNNNNNNNNNNNNNNNNNNNNNNNNNNNNNNNNNNNNNNNNNNNNNNNNNNNNNNNNNNNNNNNNNNNNNNNNNNNNNNNNNNNNNNNNNNNNNNNNNNNNNNNNNNNNNNNNNNNNNNNNNNNNNNNNNNNNNNNNNNNNNNNNNNNNNNNNNNNNNNNNNNNNNNNNNNNNNNNNNNNNNNNNNNNNNNNNNNNNNNNNNNNNNNNNNNNNNNNNNNNNNNNNNNNNNNNNNNNNNNNNNNNNNNNNNNNNNNNNNNNNNNNNNNNNNNNNNNNNNNNNNNNNNNNNNNNNNNNNNNNNNNNNNNNNNNNNNNNNNNNNNNNNNNNNNNNNNNNNNNNNNNNNNNNNNNNNNNNNNNNNNNNNNNNNNNNNNNNNNNNNNNNNNNNNNNNNNNNNNNNNNNNNNNNNNNNNNNNNNNNCCGGCGGCCGCGUUGGUUCCCUCUGUCGCGGGCGUGCAGUGGUGGUGCGGCUCGGCCGGUGGCGGUCCGGCGACCUGGUGGUGGUGGCCGGCGGCGCACGUGGUGGUGGUGCUUCCACUUGGCGGCUCUCUGUGCGGGGAGGCAGGGAAGCGGCUUGGACAGGGGCGGCAGCGUCGACGGCGUGCCGGCUGCAGCGCGAAGGCGGGAACUUUACGGGCCUCGGAGAUCCCGGCCGGGCCUGUGCGGCCACGGGCCUGGAAUGUUCCUGCUAUUGCGUCCGGUCAGCUACCGUCGAGACGGUGGAGGUGGGGCCCUCCCGCGUGCCGACGGUGCUGCUGCCCUAGUCCCGGCUCCUCUCCUUCUUUGUGCGGACCAUGCUUCACGGUGCCGUGGGGAGACGGCGUGAGAAGCUUCGUGACCGGGUUGGCGCAGGGUGAGGGUCUGUUUGGUGGCGAGCUCUGGAGUGCCUGAGGUGGUGGUUGGGAUCGGGAGAAAUCUCUGUUGGCUUCGCACUUGUGGGUACCGCCUGACCUUCCUGAAGGGCGUCGGGGCUACCCUUCCUCUCUCCUCACAGCGUACCGGGGGAAACCCUUGGCGGCAGCGUCGUCUUCGUCGCGGUCCUUCUUGGAGGUGCUGAUUGGUACCGGCGCUUCGGAAGCUCGGAGCUUGGUGGGCGAUCUCCGGUGGGCGCAGCGGCCUCGAGGCUUCUUCGUUUUUUGUCGAUCCGCCGUUGUUGGCAUUAGUUUUUUUUUUUGUAUUUUCUCUUUCUUUCCUUUUGGGCGUGACUGUGCUGCUUCCGCCCCAAUACCCAUCGUUGGAUGUUCGGUUGGCUGCUUUGUAUACAAAGCGGGGGAAAACCCUUUUUCGGUAGUCAAAACAACCUCCUUUGAUGCUAAGAUGUCGCAAUGAUGGGCACAAGAUACUACUAGCAUAAAUGCUAGUACAACUUGUCAUCUGUAAGACAUCUAGGACCUGACAACCCGAAAAAUCCAAAGGGCCUUGAAACUGCAUGGAGCGAAACUCUACCGUCUUUAGGUGCGAAGAGAUGAGAGCCAUGUUGGUUGUCAACCUCGAGGCGGCAACAACUCGUAGCACCCGAACUUUAUGCGACAAAGCAUAGUGGAUCCACUGCUCGAUGCGUCUGAAAUUGAAUGUGUCAUUGUGUCGACAAGUAUCCAGAUCCUCGAAAACGGAACGGAUGUCACAUACGUUCAACGGCGUCGGGUCGCGGAGGCGGAGCAGGUCGUCAACGAAACAUGUUUGAGCGGGCCGUUCUGGGACAUAGUCAAAUUCAUCCAUGCCGUCGUGGUCCGUCUCGUCCAUGCACUCGCAGACACGGUAGCCGUCCGGGUCGUCCUCGAUGCGCAGCGCGGGCACGGACUUCCAAAGCGUGCGCCAGCGCUUGGCGAGCACGCACGUGCGCACGGCGUCGCGCGACGGAAGAAACGACAUGAGGUGCAACAGGACGUCGUCCUGGAGCGCGCCGAUGCGGUCCUCGCCGUCGCUAAACUUCCUGUGCAUUGCGUCGAACAGGUUGGCCGCGCCGGAGGCUGGAGCUGCAAGGUUGUUGGGCAUGGUGAGGUGAGCAGAGCGAGAGAGCAUCCGGGAAGGAGAAGAUAGACAAGAAUCCAAGAUUACCGCCUCACCUCCUGCCGCCGCCGGAAGGCCUUGGCUGGGUGCUCAGUUCUCCGAGCGAAGCAAGACGGGGACAAGCCCUGAAACCAUCUCACUUGUCAGUGUUGUUGCGGGAGGAGAAGACGAGAUCAGGCAGGAAGAUUGACAGAUCCAAGGAGUUUAAUGAAGGAGUAAAUAGAGAGUCAAUUACGGGUGCACGUAAUUCCGUGCGUCAAUGCAGGUCUACUCCAGCACGCAACAGUUUUACUGUACGUCUUCUUUGCAUUAUUUUCUACUACCAUGACGUAGAGGGACGAGGCUCCUCUGACGUACUGCAGGGCGCAGUUGGGCCACUGACAUGUGGGUCCGAAAGAAAGUUGGCCCACCUGUCAGUGACCCAACUGCGCCCUGCAGUACGUCAGGGGAGCCGAGUCCGAUGUAGAGACUAGUUUUAUGUGCGACAAAAUAAUAAUCCAAGACGUGAUGUCAAACAGUCUACUACCAUGUUUUCUUAGAGAAACGACUUAUAUUAGACUCUAUGACGCAGAAAGAACAAACCUUAAACCAACACAAACCAGACAAAUAGGUAGUACUUAAAACUGCUAUAUGUUAAGAUUUUAACAUAACUAAUAAAUACAAAGGGAUAAAGUUGAAAACAGUAAAUGCUUUUCUAAGAAUUUAUUAAAUAUCUCAAUGUAAAAAAAAUUAAAAUCACAAAGUAGGGCUUAAAACUUUUAUUUUGGUAUUCCAAAAAACAUUCCGAUUUCUCGAACAAGUUUCAACAAGAAAAAUAUUUUUUAUAAGGAGAAAAAUUAAUUAACAAAGAAAGAAGAAUAAUGGAAUUUUUUUUUGAGAAGGAACAACGUGCUUUAUUUCAUGUCUCAAUGUUUAAAAGGAUGCAAAGAUGAUCCGGUGGAUCGAUGAGCCACGAAUGUCGGCCAAUAUCAAGGGUAGUAGCCAUUCUAGCUAAUCUAUGUGCCUCACCAUUGCUAGCGCGUUGCUCGUGGACAAGCUCAUAGCUUCGAAACUUCUGUUUCCUUUCGUUGAUCUCUUGUAAGAUCAUGCAGUAUUCGCCGAGAUGGAUUGGACUCUUCAGGUCGUUGAAACAUGCACUUUAUUCACAACCAAAUCCUCGGCUAGAGCGAGUGCCUCCCUACAAGCAAAUGCCUCCAAUGUCGCUGGUUCAGUCAACCCAUGAAAUACAACAGCCGAGGCCCCCCAAAAAAGUCUGGUAUCACUCCGGCAUACAACGCCCACUGCCCCAACGUUGGAUGACUUGGCCACCGCACCGUCUACAUUUAGCUUUACCUCUCCCAUUCCCGGUGGGAUCCAGGCCUUAUCAUGUGUUGUAACCGAAGCUCUUGCAAGUCUAGCAACUUGUUGUCUCGCUCGGAUCUCUUGAAGCUCCUGCAGAAACUUUAUGAUGAAUUGAUGUGUGGAUAGCGGGCUCUGUAGUUCGUGUUCGUGGAUUACCUUUCGCCUAGCCCACCAAAUACCCCACAAUGUAACUAAUACCGAGAUGAAUUGGUCCUUGCUGAGUGUUCUGCAAAGGUUAAACAACCACAGCUUCGGGUCGGUCAUCUCAUCGCCAUAAACAGGAAGCAAUGAGUCAUCGUCUCACAGUGACCAAAUGCACUUUGACAUAUUGCAGUCCAGCAAAGCAUGUCGCCAUGAGUCCACUGCAGCCCUGCAAAUCGGACACACCUCCUCGUCGGUCAUGUGCCUCCGUUUUCGCUCCUGACCCGUGGGUAGCGAUGCCCGUGCAAGUCUCCAAGCAAAUAUUCGUAACUUAGCCGGGACCUUAACACCCCACAACAUCUUCAACUGACGUUCCUGUUGUUCUAAAUCUGAGCUACCCAUUGGGCCCAACUACGCGACAGCAUUGCUCUGUCGGGCACCCACUGGGCCCAGCCAAGCGCUCACGGAUUUGAAAAAAGUUCAACGAUUCAAAAAAUGUCCCUGUGUUCAAAAUUCGUUUAAAAUUCAAAACAAAUGUUCCUUUUUUCAAAAUUGUUUAGAAACUCAAAAUUCUUAUGGGCAGUUUCAAAUAAUGUUCACUCUUUUAAAAAUGGUUCCUAUUUUCAAAAUAAUUCUACACAAUUUAAAAAUGUUUGGGGAAGUUAACAAACAAAUUAGUUUCAAAUUUAUGUUCGCAUAUUCCUGAUUUUUUGAAAUUCGAAAUUUGUAAUGUUUUUCAAAAAAUGUUUUCAAGUGUAAAAAUUGUUUGUUUUCAAAAUGUUGUCCAAUCUUUUUGAAAAAUAUUUGUGUUGUUACAUUCUGGGGAAUUUUGGAAGACACAAACAUAUUUUUUAUAAAUUCCUAUACAAUUUUUUAAAAUGCAGAUAUUUGUAAGUUUAUUUUAAACGAACAUUUUUGGAAAUUUUGAACAAAUGCCUGUGCUGCUGUGCGUGGCACCGUCUAAUUCAGGAGCUCUUAGUCAGUGCUUUAAGCGCCGAUUAGGAAACUGGCGCUCGCACGCAUGCCAGCGAGCCGCGGUCCAAUAUUGCGCAAGCUCACUCGCACGCUCACCAGCUUCACACGUUCGCUCGCGUCGCCCGCUAGCUUUGAAAAAGGUUAAUGAAUUUAAAAUUUUAAUAAGUUUGAAAUAAAGUUCAAGAAUUUGAAAAUUGUUCACGAGUUAAAUUUUAAAAAUUUCAUAAAUUUAACAAAUGUUCAUAAGUUUGAAAAAAAGUUUGUGAAACUGAAAAAUGUUACGGGUUAAAAUUUUAAAAAUACUAUGAAUUUGAAAAUUACUUAAAAGCAUGUGCCUCGCUGCCCUCCAUUUUCCGCCGCCCCAAGCAGGGAGCUGCAAAGACACUCCUGCGUGACGUGUGUACAUGACACGACACAAGACGAGGCGCCAUGUGGAGGACUCUGCUUUGAGCUCGGGGGGUGCCCCUCUUGUGACAUGGCUGUUGCAAACGUCUAGACCAUUUUUGUUUUCAAAAAAAAAAAUCUAAUCUAUCCAUCUGAUGUCAAAAUAGUACAAAAACAUCAUAAGUAAAAAUUACAUUCAGGUUCAUAGACCAGUUAACGACGAUUACAAGACACCUGAGCGAGCUGAAGGUACGUCGUCGUUAUUACUCUACCUCGGUCAUUGCCACUACUAAUAAGACUACCACCACACCCGACGACCGCUACCAGCCUACCACUACCCCCACUAUACUACAACGCAAAUGACCAAUGGUGGCCGAGCUUCAAUGAGUUCGUUUUAAAAAUAUAUACAUUUCCAUAACUUAAAAUUUUUUGACAAAAAUUGUACAUACAUGUUUAACAUGUCCGAGGAAAGUUUCAUAACAUUAUACUUUCAAACAUGGCUUAGAAAAAAGGACAAAUAUGUAUUUUCAAAAUGGGCCGACUUUUCUUUUUUGGGGCCAGAAUUUGGUCUUUUUGUACAACAUACAAAUCAUAAUUUUUUCAAACAUUUUUUUACAUAUUCGUGUGUUUAACACAUAAGUAUUCACGGGAAAAAUUUGAUUUAAAAAAUUGAAUAUGAUUUUUUUUAAAGGGUCUUCAUGGAGCUCGACCUUCAAAAAUCCGCACUCUAUACUACUACCACUAUUGUUGCUGCUACUACUGUUGCCGUCAUAAUGCUUUCUCACUGUCGUUUCACUAAAUUCGUUGCAAAAUAAAAUAAAAUAAAUUCAAUAGUUUCAGUAAUGAAUCAAUGUUACAAUCCAAAAUUAUAGGAUCCCAAUGUACAUCUGACGACAGCUCAGGGGUGUAGUCCAAGCGAAUGCUCGCUCCCCCGGGAAGGAAGGAACAAGCGGCCAUUUUCGUUUGCUCAACAUAACCACUCCCAGUGGACGUUUCAGAAUUGCCAUGUGAAAAUGAAUAAAAUUAUCGUGCUAUUGUAAAGGAUUUGCCAUGUUCUAAGUAAAUAUUGUCAUAUUAUAUAAAAUGAUUGUCAGAAAAUUGCUAUGUUGUAGCAUUGUGCCAUGCGUUUUUCGGGAUUUACCAUGAUUGUACCAUGGAAAAUUGCAAGCAAAAAAAGGAAAUGAGGAGAAUUGCCAAGGUCAGGAUUGGCCAUGUUGUUUGAAGGGGAUUUUCAUGCUACAUCAUUGUAAAAAGGUGAGACUUGUCAUGCUCUACACACACUAGUAACACAGAAGCCCAUAAUUUUGUAAAUAGCUCUCUUUCUCUCGAGCAUGGUCGCUAUACCUGGCUCUUGAGCCCAACGAUACUUCUAUUGUACCUUAGACUCUUAUUAUGCAACUAGUUAAUUGUCCGUACGUUGCAACGGGACAUAACAAAUCAUGUGAAACAUGUAUAUCUCUAAGAGCACAUUAAACAAUGUCAAAUGUAGUUUCAUGUUAUAAAUGACCCUUCUUCAUCUUCUUCACCACUAUCUCCACUCCUCAUUCCAAACUGAUCACCGUCCUUAAUGGCACAUCUGGCUAUCAGUCAAAUUUUAGGCAAGGGGAUACAUGGUAGCUUCAGAAAACACGAGAAAGUUUAGUAACUUUAGAGAAGUUUUAGGGUGAAUAUGGAACAUAAGUAGUGAUAAAUAUUUAAUGGCAUGGUACAACAUAUAUUGUUAUAACUCACACUGAAGGUACAAACACCAGAAAGGGUUUUUCUGAAGAAAGGGUUAUCAUUGCGUACAAUUCGAAGUAGGCAUAGAAUAUACUCCCUCUGUAAACUUUUAUAAGUUGUCACCUAAAAUGUCUUCAAAAAGUUUACACAGGGAAUACCUUUUCAUAGUACAAUACCAAUUACACAAGAUUUUUCAAGUGCCUCUAGUUGUUCUAUACGUACAGCGUGUACUUGCAGCUAAGAUUGUAUUCCAUCUCUCCAAACAGGGGAACAUAACUACAGGGUAAGCAUGAGUUAUAUUAGGACUCAGGAUGCACAUGAUGCAAGCAAAAAACAAAAACAAGGCAGUUGCAGCCACUGGAAUGGAAUGAAUUAAUUGUACUGACCGGUCAGGCCAAUGUAUUAGGUAAAGGCCAAUGUUAUCCGCACCCAGCCCACGCAAUGAUCACACAAGGAAAGCAUAUCAAGCAUAUUGUAAGGGCAUAUUUAUCCCUCAAGUGUUUUGGUGAUUGAUGACAAUGCAUUUGCGGACUAAUCGUGUGCCUUGAGUUUCUCAGAUACUUCAUCUCUAGGCAUGAGACAAUUCGGUGCCCCUCGGAGACUAUUGAAGUCGGCGUUGUUCUACGUUUCUCUUUGGUGGAUUUGAGUCGUAGGAGAGCUGUACUAUUAAGAGGGGGUCCGCGUCGGAAAGGUUUGGGUGGAAUCAACACGUACACUUGUUCCUCCUUUCCCUGCAUUUUGGAGCUUCCCUUUGUUAUCUAGGUUGUGCGGGAAUCUGACGACUACUGCUGUACUUGCGGUAGUACCGCAAGUACACGCGGUAGUACCGCUGUGUGUCACGGUAGUACCGCUCAUCUGGAGCGGUAGUACCGCGGCUCCCAGGCCUUGUGCCGCUCUGGUGCGGUAGUAGGGGCGGAUGUAAUUUUUUACAUCCGCGCCCUCCACGGUAGUACCGCUCGUCCAGCACGGUAGUACCGCGGGGACCCAUAGUAGUACCGCUCCUUAGGAGUCGUAGUACCGUGGCCCUCCUACCUAGUACCGCAGGGCCGCGGUAGUAGGCGCGGAUGUAAUUUUUUACAUCCGCGCCCGCACGGUAGUACCGCGCCUCGCGAGCGGCAGUACCGCGUCGGAUUCUUGUACCACCUCAGUUUCAGCGGAAGUAGGCACGGAUGUAAUUUAUUUCAUCCGCGCUCUUCCUAGGCCGUGACUUUCCUGCCAAGCGGUAGUACCGCAAGUGGGUGCAGUAGUACCGCGCAAGCGCUAGUACUGCCUCCUUGUCAGGCUAGUUCCGGCCUGUGCUGCUGUCGCGGUAGCCUCGCGGUAGUACCGCGCCCCUGGAGCGGUAGUACCGCGUGUCGCGGGCUGAACAUGUGGAUAACGGUUGGAUUUUUCCCUCGACUAUAUAAGGGGUGUCUUCUACCUCUAGUUGACCACCUCUUCCAUCUCUAAGCUCCAUUGUUGCUCCAAGCUCCAUUUUCACUCGAUCUCUCUCCCUAGCCAAUCAAACUUGUUGAUUUGCUCGGGAUUGGGUGACAAGUGCCCGAUCUACACUUCCACCACAGGAUAUUUGAUUCCCCUCACUUAUUCCGUGCGGAUCUUGUUACUCUUGGGUGUUGAGCACCCUAGACGGUUGAGGUCACCUCGAAGCCAUACUCCAUUAUGGUGAAGCUUCGCGGGAUUAUUGGGAGCCUCCAAGUGCCGUGGAGAUAGCCCCAAUCUUGUUUGUAAAGGUCCGGUUGCCGCCUUCAAGGGCUCCAAUAGUGGAAUCACGGCAUCUCGCAUUGUGUGAGGGCGUGAGGAUAUUACGGUGGCCCUAGUGGCUUCUUGGGGAGCAUUGUGCCUCCACACCGCUCUAACGGAGACGUACUUCCCCUUAAAAGGAAGGAACUUCGGUAACACAUCCUCGUCUCCACCGGGUCCACUCUUGGUUAUCUUAUCCCUUUACUUUUGCAAGCUUACUUGUGCUAUAUCCAUUGCUUGCUUGUGUGCUCAUUGUCUUUGCAUCAUAUAGGUUGUCCACAUAGUUGCACAUCUCGACAACCUAUUUCAUUGCAAGGUUUAAAUUGUUAAAGAAAAGUCUAAAAAUUGUUAGUUGCCUAUUCACCCCCCUCUAGUCAACCAUAUCGAUCCUUUCAAUUGGUAUCAGAGCCUCGUCUCUUUAUUAAGGACUUUGUCGUCCGAAGAGUAUGGUUGAUGUCAACGACGGUGCGGAGGAACACUCCGGUGUGAAUCCCAUCUCGUCUUCGGCCGAAGGGGGAACCUCGGUCUCACGUGAGGAAUUCAAUGUGGCUUUAGACACAUUGAAAACCUCCAUGACGGCCGAGGUUAAAAGCAUGUUUACUGAAUUUCUAGAGGGACUUAAACUAUCUACCUCACCAAUGAAAGUGGGUGAUCGCACUAACAAGGUGACGGAUGCUAACUCCGAUAAGGGGGAAGCUAACAAUGAAAAGAGUCCAUCUACUAGUGGUAGAAAUGGCACCGGCAUCUUUGCCCAUGUGGAACCCCCAGUGUAUAGAGGACCGAUCCCCUCUACUCAUUUGAAUCAUGCCGGUCCUCCUCCUAAAUAUGUGAAAAAUAAAGAUUAUGAUUCUUGGGUUUAUCGCUUCAAGCGUCAUUUAAAACAUGUGAAUACUAACCUUUGGAGAAUUAUUGAAGAAGGUUUCUAUCCUCAUGAUCCAAGCAACUUCACCCCUCGAGAAGAAGUGGACAACCAAUUCAAUGAGAGUGCUCUCUUCAUCAUCCAAGAUGCUAUCCUUCCCGAAGAUCUCCCUCAUCUUCGACCUCAUGUCAUGGCUAAAGAAGCAUGGAAGUAUGUCAAGCGUAUGUAUAGAGGAAGUGCUAGCAUUCAACGCUCCAACUAUGAAGUGGUGCAAGAUGAAGCCGAUGAGUUUGCAAUGAAAGAGGAUGAAGAACCUCGUGAGCUCUUUCGAAGAGUGACCAAACUUGCGGUCGCACUCCGAGAUCAUGGGAGUAAGGACACGGAUGACAACUGGAUCAAGCGCAAGUUCCUCAAGGCCAUGAUGCCCUACAACAAGGCCAUGUCCUCCGUCAUCCGCCAAAGACCGGACUUCCACUCCAUGACCUCUGGUGAAGUGUUGGAUGAGUUUGUUGCAAUGAACAUAUUGGAUAAGACCGCCGACAAUGCGGUGCUCCGUUCCCAAAGGGCAAAGAAGCCCAAUCUUGCCUUGAAGGCCAAGGUUAGUGUGGAAGAAGAAGAAGAAGAGGAAGAUGAGGAGAGCAACCCCGAGGACACGAAGUAUGAUUAUCAUGAGCACAUGGCUCUUGCCUCAAGACAGUUUUGGAGUAAGAAGACUACAAGACCCAACUUCAACAAGAACAACUCAAGUGGCCUCAAGGGGAAGCAAGGAGUUAGAACUUGUUUCAACUGUGGCAAUGUCAGCCAUUUCGUUGCGGAUUGUCCAUACAAGAAGCGGGAAGACAAUGGUGGCAAGUUCAUUCGAAAAGACAAAGCCAAGUCCUUCCCCAACAAGAACAACUUCACCAAGAAGACUCCUUCUCGCGGGUUGGUGGUUCAAGAAGAAUACCGUGAGGAUGACGAUGAUGAUGAAGAUGGUGAAACAAUGGCCAUGGCAUCCCUUGCCAUUUUCUCAACUCCUCGGGUGUCUCUCUUCGAUGCACCUAACGAGAACAUCACCGCCAAGUGCGUCAUGGCUAAGGCCACCAACAAGGUAACCCCCAAGAUCAAAACCACCAUUAUUCCUAACCCUCCUUCAACGGAUGACUUUGAUAAUGGUAAGGGGUCUAAUGAGGAGAUCAAUGAAUUUGAGUCCUUCAUGAGUAAGCUCAAGGGCAAAUCCAAGAAGCAUUUCGUUGCUCUCUUGGAACAACUCGGUGAAGCCAAUGACAUGAUCGAGGCUCAUCAAGAAACCAUCACUAAGAUGGAAAGUCAUAGUCAUGACUAUGCCGAUGAGAUAUCGGAUCUCUCUAAUGCUCUUGAGGAAGAUCGUGAGCAUCGUUUGGCUCUUGAGGAGUCACACAACGAUGGUCAUGCAAACUAAAGAAAGAUCUUGAUCAUGCUCUUGUUGUGUCUCGUGUUCUAGCUUCCGAGAAGGCUAAACUUGGGGUUGAUCAUGUUAGACUCACGGAGGAGUUUGAUGUACUUGACAAGGCCCACAAGGUCUUGAAAAGUGCUCAUGCCACCCUCAAGGAGUCUCAUGCUCAACUCCAAGUUAAGCUAACUAAGGAAAAGGCCACAUUUACUCACAUGGUCUUAAUUGAUAAUGCAAAUGCUACUAACCCAUGUUGUGAGCAUGUGCAUCUUGUGGAGGAAAAUGCCAAGUUGAAGGAACAACUCGAGAAAGGUCUUGUGUCAUGCAUACAAGGCGAGAAGAACCUAAAUGACCUUUUGAGCAAUCAAAAGGAAGUUGUGGGCAAGGAGGGAGUUGGGUUCGCACCCAAGUCCAAGAACAAGAAGAAGAACAAGGAGAAGAAGAGCAAGACCAAUCGACCUCCUCCGCUCAUGCAAACCUUUGUGAAGGAGGGAGAAGGUGCUCCUAAGGAGAAGAAGAACAAUGGGAAGAGCGGUGAAGCCAAAGAGCGCAACGCCAUCUCUCCCAACAAAGCCGGCGACUUUAACCCCUCUUAUGUGUUGUGCCGUGCUAGUGAUGGACAUGUUUAUGCUAAAUUUGUUGGUUCUCCUUAUGAGUACAUUGAAUGGUCUAUUUGGGUUCCUAAGACCUUGUUACUAACAUCAAAGGACCCAUUACUCAAUGGGUACCUAAAACCAAGCAUUGAUCUCUUGUAGGUGUUUGCUUCCGGUGGGGGAUCAUGGUUGCUCGAUAGUGGAGCAACAAAUCAUAUGACCGGGAGCAAGGACUUGGUGGUGGACGUGCACAAUAUCCCAUCUAUGCCCACCAAUGUCGAAUGGGGUGAUGCCUCACAUUCUAAGGUAUUGGGUCUUGGCAAGGUUGUCAUUUCUCAUGAUCUAACGAUCGAGAAAGUCAUGCUUGUUGAGUCCCUUGCGUUCAAUUUACUUUCUGUUCGUCAACUCGCACUCAUGGGUUUUGCCACCUUCUUUGAUAUUGAUACCGUGACCCUUUUGUGGAGCAAGACUCUUAAAGUAGCCUUUGUUGGGCAUGUCGAGAACGGUCUCUAUGUGGUUAACUUCUCGGAGCAACCCACUAAGACCGCGACAUGCCUAAUGGCUAAAGUUGAUGUGGGAUGGCUUUGGCAUCGCCGUUUAGCCCACGUCAAUAUGAGAUCUUUGCAAAGUCUUCUUAAGGGGGACCAUGUCCAUGGACUAACGAAUGUUAGUUUUGCCAAAGAUCGUGUUUGCAGUGCUUGUAUCGAAGGAAAGCUUCAUGAGAUGGCUCACCCUCCCACGACUAUCAUCUACUCGAAGAGACCCUUGGAGCUCCUCCACAUGGACCUCUUUGGGCCCCCAUCCUUUGAUAGUCUUGGGGGUAGAAAGUAUUGCUUGGUGAUAGUGGAUGAUUAUUCAAGAUACACGUGGGUAUACUUCUUCAAGAGGAAGAGUGAGACUCAACAAACCGUCAUCGACUUUGCAAAUGAAGCUCAAUGUCAACACAAUGCAAAGAUCUUGACAAUAAGAAGUGACAACGGCACCGAGUUCAAGAACUACACCUUGGAUGAGUUUCUUAGUGAUGAAGGGAUCAAGCACCAAUAUUCUGCACCAUAUACCCCUCAACAAAAUGGUGUUGCAGAGAGGAAGAACCGGACGUUGAUGGAUGCGGCAAGGACCAUGAUGGCGGAGUUCAAGUCUCCAUACAACUUCUGGGCCGAAGCUAUCAACACAGCUUGUCAUGCAUCCAAUCGGCUCUAUCUCCGCAAAGGCUUGAACAAGACUCCGUAUGAGAUACUCACCGGGAACAAGCCCAAUCUCAAGUACUUCCGGGUGUUCGGGUGUAAGUGUUUCAUUCUCAAGAAAGGUGUUCGUUUGUCUAAAUUUGAAGCUAGAGCUCAUGAGGGCAUAUUUGUUGGUUAUGCUACAAACUCUCAUGCUUACUGUGUUCUCAACAAGUCCAACGGACUCAUUGAGGAGACAUGUAACGUAGAGUUUGAUGAAAAUAACGGCUCCCAAGUGGAGCAAAGUGGUACUUGUGAUGUAGGUGAUGAAAUUCCUCCCCAAGCCAUAAGAAGAAUGGGUAUUGGUCAUAUCCUACCCAUUGAGGAACCCCUUGUGGCCGAAGGAGAAGGACAAUGCUCCACUCAAGUGGAGCCAUCACCUCCCCAAGACCCACACGCUUCUGAAGAACAAAGUGAAGGCCCUCACCUUCAUGAACAAGACCAAGGGCAAGAUCAACCUCAAGAUGGAGGUGAACCUCUAAAUGAUGCCCAAGGUCAAGUUCUCCCCCUCGAGCAAGUUCAAGAUCAUGAGCAAGCUCAAGACGGUGCUCAAGAUGAUCAAGUUAACCUUCCUCCUUCCAUACCCGAGGAAGAAUUAGAGUGUCGUGCCGCGAAGAUUGCUUCCAAACUCACCACCCAAGGCCGUCUCAUGGAAAACGUGGUUGGAAGUCUAAGAAAGGGGGUAAGCACUAGUAGACAAUUAGCUAACUAUUGUGAACAUCAUGCGUUUGUCUCUUGUGUUGAACCCCAAAAGGUCUAUGAGGCGCUCGAAGACUCGGAUUGGCUCAAUGCCAUGCAUGAAGAACUAAACAACUUCGAGUACAACAAGGUGUGGAUAUUGGUGCCAAGACCUUCGGGGAACCACAACGUCAUUGGAACAAAGUGGAUCUUCAAGAACAAGCAAGAUGCUCAUGGGAACAUCAUUCGCAACAAGGCAAGAUUGGUAGCACAAGGCUACUCCCAAGUCGAGGGCAUCGACUACGAUGAAACCUUUGCUCCCGUUGCUCGUCUUGAAUCCAUUCGUUUGUUGAUUGCUUAUGCUUCCCAUCACAACUUUAAGUUGCAACAAAUGGAUGUGAAAAGUGCUUUUCUUAAUGGUCCCAUUAAUGAGAUGGUUUAUGUCAAGCAACCCCCCGGGUUCGAGGACCCCUACUUCCCGGAUCACGUGUAUCAACUCGAUAAGGCACUCUAUGGCCUUAAACAAGCCCCACGUGCGUGGUAUGACCACCUUACUGAGUUGCUACAAGAUCGUGGAUUUGAAGUAGGACAAAUCGAUCCCACUCUUUUUUACUAAGAAGGUCAAAGGGGAGUUGUUUGUAUGCCAACUAUAUGUUGAUGAUAUUAUCUUUGGUUCUCCUAACAAAGCUUUCAAUGAGGAAUUUGCCGCUCUCAUGACCUCCAAGUUCAAGAUGUCUUCGAUGGGAGAGUUGAAGUUCUUCCUUGGUUUUGACAUCAAACAACAAAGAGAAGGAACCUUCAUCAACCAAGCCAAAUACACUCAAGACAUGCUUAAAAGAUUCAAGCUAAGUGAUGUCAAGCCGGCUUCUACACCAAUGCCUACCAAGUGCCAACUUGACAUCGAUCCCAAUGGUAAAGCGGUGGAUCAACGCUCCAUGAUUGGCUCCUUGCUUUACCUUUGUGCAUCUAGACCGGAUAUCAUGUUGAGUGUGGGGAUGUGUGCACGGUUUCAAGCCGCACCAAAGGAAAGUCACUAUGUGGCGGUCAAGAGAAUCUUUUGAUAUUUGGCUCAUACCCCAAACUUUGGCCUAUGGUACCCAAGAGGAGCAAAUUUCAAGCUUGAAGGUUUCACGGAUUCCGAUUGGGCGGGGGACAAAGUGGAUAGGAAGUCCACUUCCGGAGGGUGCCAAUUUCUUGGUUGCUCUUUGGUAAGUUGGUCUUCCAAGAAGCAAAGUUGUGUGUCCCUCUCGUCCACCGAAGCAGAGUAUGUGGCGGCUGGUAGUUGUUGUGCUCAACUCCUAUGGAUGAGGCAAACUUUAAAGGAGUACGGUGUCAUUUGUGACAAAGUGCCUCUUUGGUGUGAUCAUGAAAGUGCCUUCAAGAUUUCUCUCAACCCGGUACAACACUUCAAGACGAAGCACAUUGAGAUUCGGUAUCACUUCAUCCGGGAUCACAUUAGGCGAGGGGAGAUCGAGCUCAAGUAUGUUAACACUCAUGAUAACCUUGCAGAUAUUUUCACGAAGCCCUUGGAUGAAGCAAGAUUUCGCGAGUUAAGGCAUGAGCUAAAUAUCAUUGAUUUGAGCAAUGUGACUUGAACCCGUACACCCCCACCACACUCAACGUGUUGUCUAGUUUAGGUGUAGGCAUGGACAUAGGGGGAGUGUUGUUCUCUCAAUGAACUCUCCCUCCCCCCAUUAUGCAUAAAUCGAUCACCUCUUUCACAUUAGCCAUUUUUAAUGGUACUUGUGCUUCAAAGACGAGUUUUGGUCAUGGGCCCAAGGAUAAUUCUUCACGGUGCCAUACCAUCCAACUCAAACAUAGGUGGCUUCGGCCACCGCCCUCUCUCCUCGAGAGGCUUUGUCGCUUGGUGGUUUCUUGUUGUCUUUUUGCCUCUGGUUUGUGCGUGUUCUUGUGGUUUCUUGUGUGUGAAAAGUUUCCGUGCAAAGGCUUUUUCUUCUCGUGUUGAAACUUGCGGUGACUUGAGCUCACGGUACUACCGCGGCCAGCUACGGUACUAUCGCAGCCAGCCACAGUACUACCGCUUGCAGGAGCACGGUACUACCGUGACCACGCGGCAGUAUUUUUUUUACUGCCGCCUGGUUGAGCGGUACUACCGCCUCGGCGCCGUACUUCCGCCCGAGCGGUACUACCGCGAUGAUACGUGGUACCACCGCACCGGUUCGAACGCGUGGGGAUAAGGACGGGCAGGGGAAGUUUUAACUCCCCAUACCCAUUCGCUGUCCUCUCUCUCCACGUCGCCUCCUUCUCUCCCUCGCUCAAGAAUGGAGCCGGUGUUCGUCGCUGGAUCUCCUCCACCGGCUGCCCUCCCGUGAUUCCGACCGGUGGGAUCGUUCCCCACCACGUGCUCUUGCUAUGGACCAAGGUUUUUCCCCAACUCCCUCUCCGUGUUGCUUGCGUUUGGUGUUUUUAGGUUUUGGGGGAGGCUUGUGUGUUCUUGAGAUUCAUAGGUUUAAUCUCUGCAAGAGUAGGAUGAUGGAGUGUGGCAUUGCAUAGGAUUUAUACUUGUAUUUUUGCCUUGCGCUAGAUCGGAUCACCGUAGCACCGCUUUUGUUUCACGGUUCUUUUUCAGAUUCAAACCGCCGGUUGGAUCUGACGCGACGCGGUACUACCGCCCGUCUGGCGCGGUACUACCGCUUGUACGGUACUACCACCCUUCGGGAGCGGUACUACCGCGCUCUGUGCGAUACUAAAAUUUUACUUCCGCUCCAACCACGGUACUACCGUGACCUCGCACGGUACUACCGCGUUUGGAGCAGUACUAAUAUUUUAGUACCGCAUGCAAUGGCAGUUCUACCGUGGCUCACAUCUAUCGCAUGCCAACUUUCUCGUAUGCCUUCUAUGUGUUUCUUGUGCUUUUUGUGGCCUUUGCAUUGAUCUUUUCACGUCUUCGGUGUUUUGCGUGUGUGUCUCAGGUGGUGGCUCUCGCCGGUCCAACCCCAGUCGUGACACUGGCUCCAAACGUUUGCGCAACCCAGGUGAAGUACCAGAGGGCUCGUCUGCCUCCAAGCGCAAUGUCAAGCACUCAGCUAGCAAGCACAAGGAGCCCGCUAAGGGCAUGGAUGAGAUAGCCCAAGCUGAUUAUGUCCGUCUCAGGCAGCUUCACCCUUAUGUGCACCCGCGUGCCACUUUCAGAGGCUGUGAGCUGUUCUGGAACAAGCAACAGACCAACAUCUAUCUGGAUGUCAUCAAGAACAAGCAGAAUACCUAUGUGGAGGUGAAGUGGAUUGACAUGCAUCACAUGAGGAAGGACAAGUUUCGUGACUACUUUGGAGAGGCUCUGGACUUUGUGGAGCAGUUUGGCAUUGAGCAUGUGUUAACCUUCCACCUCGACUAUGACCCUGAGCUUAUCUGUCAGUUCUUUGCCUCAGUCUACUUUCACUCUGAUGAGGAACGGAGGAUGACCUGGAUGACCAAUGGCCGUAAGCUGUCUGCUACCUGGAAGGAGUUCAUGGAUCUCCUCCAGGUUCCUGAUGAUGGGCUCGACUCUCCAGUGGGUGUUCGCCCCCAUGCCAAUGCUGAGUCUGCCAGCAAGGACAGGCUUGCCCCAUUCAUGGUUGAGAAGGCGCUCGCCAAUGGCAAGACAACUUUGGUGCUCAACCCCUUCCUGGAUAUCAUGUAUCGCAUCUUCCGCAACUCCUUGUUCCCUCGCAUCGGUGACAAAGACAAGGUUCAUGCCUAUAUGGUGGACAUGAUGCUCAUCUGCGAGGAGGCUCGUUCGUCUCAGUCUCAGCCACUUGAUGUCUCACACAUCAUGUGGUGUGAGCCCCGGUUUGCAGUGUUCAACCGCAAGGUGCCUAUCUAUGGGCCCUAUCUGUUUCUGCUGAUUUCAAAGACUUGGGAGAAGAUGUUCCCUGAUGAGGAGUUUCUUGCUCCAGACUGGGUUCGCCAUGAGCCCAUCUGCCUGCGUAUCAAAUCCAACUGGGCCAACACCACUACUCGUGCCGAGGCGUCUGCUGCUAGGGCUGCUGUUGAUGAGGAGGAUGCUGGCGCCGAGGAUGUUGCUGAGGGCCAUGCUGCUAGGCCUUCCCAGAGUGCCGCUAUGCCAUCAUGGGCCAAGAAGCUGAAGGACAAGAUGAAGACUCUUUUCUGCAUGCAAGCCAAGGGGCAGUACAGGACUCACGUGGCGUCCAAGGAGAGUCGUCGCCGGGACAACAAGAUCUUGCAGCUCUAUGGUGAGGCAGUGUCUGGCGGGUCUGAGGAGCACAUCACUCCAGAGGCUGAGUGGAUGGAGAAGCAGAGCUACAGGUGGACUGAGUCUGAGGAGGAUGUCGAGGAGAACAUCCCUGCUGCCGAGGAGACCGACGGAGAGGCUUGGGACGAGUUCUCUGCUUGAGCCACCUCUUGUGUGUAGGUGUCCUCUCUGCCUUUUUGGCGUCUCGAUGCCAAAGGGGGAGAGAGCGUAGGGAUUUGCGAGUGUGUCGUGUGUUUGCGAGUGUGUCGUGUGUUUGCUGCUUUCUCGUUUGAACUAUUUGCUGCUUUCUCGUUUGAACCUCGGUAGCUUUACUUCGUUUGGUGUAAGACAUAUGCACUCUAUCUAUCCUAGCGAGCUUGUGUUAUAUUGUGUUAUCUUUAUACUAUGAUAUGCUUAUUAUCAUGCCUUGGUCUCUAAAAUAUAGGGGGAGUGUUGAUCCUAGUCUGUGUGCUAUGCAGUCUAAAGCAUUCAUCUAAAGUGCACACAUCUAGGGGGAGCCCGUCUAUAUUUUAGAGCGGUGGGGUUUGCCCCUGCUCUAAAUUAUCUUAUCUAUAUGCAAAUCCCGUGUUGUCAUCAAUCCACCAAAAAGGGGGAGAUUGUAAGGGCAUAUUUAUCCCUCAGGUGUUUUGGUGAUUGAUGACAAUGCAUUUGCGGACUAAUCGUGUGCCUUGAGUUUCUCAGAUACUUCAUCUCUAGGCAUGAGACAAUUCAGUGCCCCUCGGAGACUAUUGAAGUCGGCGUUGUUCUACGUUUCUCUUUGGUGGAUUUGAGUCGUAGGAGAGCCGUACUAUUAAGAGGGGGUCUGCGUCGGAAAGGUUUGGGUGGAAUCAACACGUACACUUGUUCCUCCUUUCCCUGCAUUUUGGAGCUUCCCUUUGUUAUCUAGGUUGUGCGGGAAUCUGACGACUACUGCUGUACUUGCGGUAGUACCGCAAGUACACGCGGUAGUACCGCUGUGUGUCACGGUAGUACCGCUCAUCUAGAGCGGUAGUACCGCGGCUCCCAGGCCUUGUGCCGCUCUGGUGCGGUAGUAGGGGCGGAUGUAAUUUUUUACAUCCGCGCCCUCCACGGUAGUACCGCUCGUCCAGCGCGGUAGUACCGCGGGGACCCACGGUAGUACCGCUUCCUAGGAGUCAUAAUACCGUGGCCCUCCUACCUAGUACCGCAGGGUCGUGGUAGUAGGCGCGGAUGUAAUUUUUUACAUCCGCGCCCGCACGGUAGUACCGCGCCUCGCGAGCGGUAGUACCGCGUCGGAUUCUUGUACCACCUCAGUUUCAGCGGAAGUAGGCACGGAUGUAAUUUAUUUCAUCCGCGCACUUCCCAGGCCAUGACUUUCCUGCCAAGCGGUAGUACCGCAAGUGGGUGCGGUAGUACCGCGCAAGCGGUAGUACUGCCUCCUUGUCAGGCUAGUUCCGGCCUGUGCUGCUGUCGCGGUAGUACUGUGGUCAGCCACGGUAGUACCGCACAGCCUCGCGGUAGUACAGCGCCCCUGGAGCGGUAGUACCGUGUGUCGCGGGCUGAACAUGUGGAUAACGGUUGGAUUUUCCCUCGACUAUAUAAGGGGUGUCUUCUACCUCUAGUUACCACCUCUUUCAUCUCUAAGCUCCAUUGUUGCUUCAAGCUCCAUUUUCACUCGAUCUCUCUUCCUAGCCAAUCAAACUUGUUGAUUUGCUCGGGAUUGGGUGAUAAGUGCCCGAUCUACACUUCCACCACAGGAUAUUUGAUUCCCCCCACUUAUCCCUUGCGGAUCUUGUUACUCUUGGGUGUUGAGCACCCUAGACGGUUGAGGUCACCUCAAAGCCAUACUCCAUUGUGGUGAAGCUUCGCGGGAUUAUUGGGAGCCUCCAAGUGUUGUGGAGAUAGCCCCAAUCUUGUUUGUAAAGGUCCGAUUGCCGCCUUCAAGGGCUCCAAUAGUGGAAUCACGGCAUCUCGCAUUGUGUGAGGGCAUGAGGAGAUUACGGUGGGCCUAGUGGCUUCUUGGGGAGCAUUGUGCCUCCACACCGCUCUAGCGGAGACGUACUUCCCCUUAAAAGAAAGGAACUUCGGUAACACAUCCUCGUCUCCACCGGGUCCACUCUUGGUUAUCUUAUCCCUUUACUUUUGCAAGCUUAGUUGUGCUAUAUCCAUUGCUUGCUUGUAUGCUCAUUGUCUUUGCAUCAUAUAGGUUGUCCACGUAGUUGCACAUCUAGACAACCUAUUUCAUUGCAAGGUUUAAAUUGUUAAAUAAAAGUCUAAAAAUUGUUAGUUGCCUAUUCACCCCCCCUCUAGUCAACUAUAUCGAUCCUUUCACAUAUCAUCAUAUAAUAUGAACAGAAAUAUUACUAAGUAAGCGAAUGGUUCCUAGAGAACCAUGUACUGUGUUGCUAACGAUGUGCAUGUCCAACGAUGGUGAUAAAGCUUGUUGGGAAAGCGUCAUCAGAGAAGCAAAAUAGCAAGAAACUCUUUCAUAGUCCCAUAGAUUACAAGAGGAGCAGCAAAUUACUCCCUCCGUUCGUAAAUAUAAGUCUUUUUAGAGAUUUCAAAACAAACUACAUACGGAUCUAUAUAAACGCAUUUUAGAGUGUAGACUCACUCAUUUUGCUCCGUAUAUGUAGUCCGUAUUGGAAUAUCUAAAUGACUUAUAUUUAGGAACGAUGGGAGUAUAAUGGAAGACAGAACAUCCAUGCGUCAAAAUCCUUAAAUAAAACAAGAAACUCUAUAGUUCACAACCAUGUAAACUGAAUAGAAUUUUCUAGGAAACGAUCCUACACCUUAUUCCCUGUCAUUAUACCUUAGACUCUAAAGCCGUUUUUUGAGGGUGCCAACAGGAUGUAUCGCGUGCCUUCUCCCAAUGUUGCAAUCGCUCCCACUCAAAUUCUCGCCAUACAACAACAUAUAAUUAUCUCGAUAUGUAACAUCCCAAUUUUCAAUUUGGAUGUUUAUAAUAGAUCAUUCAUAUGCAUCCAUGAUUUAUGCAUUUUGCCCCAUUUGUUUUAUUUGAUUUUUGAUCCAAGGAACUUUGAGCAACUCAAGGACCAAAAGAGAGAGUUGGAAGUUUCCCUAAAAACCAAUUUUGAAUUUUUUUUCGAAGUUGGGAGUUUGGAUCAAAUUUAGUUUCACCAAAAAUAUUCAUUUCCAUUAUAUCAAAAAUAAAAUAAUGAGAGAAGAUAAAAUGACUUCUUCAAAAACACAAAGAAAAUAUUGGAAAUUGAAUUUGGAACCAAAAUAUAUUUGUUGAGUUUUAGUUGCAAUUUAUUUUAUUAGCACAUCAAAAAGUUUUUUUUGAAAACUUGCAUUUUUAGGCCAGAUAAAAGUUCACUAGGUCAUAUAUAAGACCAUAUAACUAUGUGAAUUUUCUGGGAUUUUUUAGGCUAAUUAUUAUUUGUCUUUUGGUGCUUUAAUGCUGCUGAAGAAAAAACGAUUUAAAAAAAAACAGCCGGCCCAGCUAGCGCCAGCCAGCCCAGCCAGCGAGGUAGCGAGGCCAGCGAGCCGAGCGAGGCUCCAGCGCUCACUCAGCGCCCAGCCCCACAGCCCCACCUGAAAAAAAAAAGGGUCGUUCGCCUCAGCGCCCCACUCACGUUUCCUGUUCGCUUGUUCGUUUCCUCCCCCAGGAACACAAACGUAAGCGUUCAUGCUCCCGACUUUGCUUCGUUUUCAAUUCCUGAAAAUCAAUUCUCCAACUCACUUCACGUCCAAGAAAGAUGUCUUAUAAAUAGCCACGACUCUCCUCGACCGAUUCAGUCGAAAAUCUCACGCCAAAACUAUCUCUAGACGACGCACUCGACGUUCCAAUCUCGCCUCAGAAGCUGCAGUUCAUCGCAAGUUUCCGACACCGGCGAGCCGUACCUAGCCGUAUCCUUUUUGGUUCUGACUUCUCUCGAUCCUUACAACCGUUUUGACAAGGUCUCGCGCUCCCUCUUCAUCUACAGAGGCCACCUCGACCACGUUGUCUUCACCAGAGCACCCGGAGCAUCGAGCUUCGCCGCUUUGUUUCGUCGCUGUUCGUCAUCCCCGAUCAUCACCGACUACACCACCGGACGAGAAACUCUCCACCGCAUCGUCUAGACACCUCCGCUGCCGCCCACGAUCGCCGGAACCGCCGCCACCAACACAGCCGCCCCAGUGUACGUACAUUUCUCUCUAGGUUUCAGUUCGUUUCAGUCUCAAAAAAUGUUUCUUUAUGGAUCGGCCGCCCUCUUCAAAUCUAGCAGCAAACACCGGCCCAACCAAGCACAGAGCGCCACUUGUCGCCGACCGAAAUUAGUUUUUUUUCGAGAUAAAUUCAUAUUUCUGAUUUCUGUCAGAUUUUUCUUUUAGCUUAUCUUUUAAUCUAUAGAUCCAAAUUAGGUGAUUCUUUUUCCUACUAGUUCAAAAAAUCCCCUCUAUCCAGAGAACCAAACAAAAAAUAUUUUUGAAAAUUUUAAAUUUUGAAUUCAAACAGAUCUGAAUUUAAACUUCGUUAGGCCGUAACUCGAGUUUCGUAACUCCGUUUUAGGUGAUUCUUUUUGCAUAUCGAAGUUCGUGACGUGUAUUUUCUGUUAAACCCAAACACACAUAUUUUUUCUACUAUAAAAAUUACGUUAUAUACAUAAAUUUUAUUUGGAUGUUUUGGAGUUUUUCGAAGUCUUUCAUUUGUUUUCUUUUCGGAUCUUUGCUUGUAUGCUUAUGUAUGUUAUUGCUUGCUUACGCUAGAUCAUCCGGAGUGCGAAGCUUGCUGCUACGAAUCUUUACAGUUCAACGAACGUCAGCAAGGCAAGUUCACACUUUGAUCAUAAUUUUUUUAAUACCCAGUUUUUACUAUGCAUUAGUUUAACCCUCAAAGAUUGCACGGAUAGGAUUGGGAACAUGUGGAUAUGCUAUGUAGUUCAUGUGGUAGGAACCUAUGACCUUUGAUCACCUCGGAAAUUUUCGUUAUGUCAUAUAUUGCUUAGCCAUGCUCGUAGACGGGGAUUGGUAUGAGUGAUCCAUGCAAGUUGCGAGAGAUAAUAAUUUUUGGGACAACAUAAGGUGGCAACUUUAAUACACAUCUGGGUGGAUUGUUUGGGGCACCUGAAGUAACCAGUGCUUGUCCAAGGGGAAUCCUGGAGUACCCGUGUGAUUACCCUAGGUCCGCCACCCAGGCUCAAAGGGAUCAUAAGAUAUUUUAUGCCUAGAAACUUCCGUGUGCAGCCACAAGCCAUUAUGGCCUCUGGCAUAGUUGAAUAAGUUGUGUGACCUCUUUCCAUGGUAGAUUAGCUGAUGUAGGGGAAAGUAGGUGUACCGGUCUAUCCAGGGUUAAGGGCAAACGCUUCUGAAAGGCUAUGUCUCGAUCUUCCAAUCAUGGAGGUGGUCGAGUCUUGUGAGGAAAAGUGCGCAAACCUCUGCAGAGUGUACAAACUAAUCAUGAUUAGCCGUGUCCCCGGUUAUGGACAACUUGAGUAUCUAGAAGUGAAUUAUUGGCUGAUCUCAUCACUCUUUUUAAUGAAAUUAUUGGGAUACUAAUAACUUGGGAAUUUUGGGGAUUGAGUUGGAGGAACCUUCUCAACAAUGACAUUUUAAUUUAGUAGUAAAUAAAAUUUUAUUCCUUUGUUGUAGGGUAAAAUUGGCUUUAUGCAAAAUAUAAACUUAGAGCCUCCACCAGCUAAAUUUGCAUAUAGAGAUAGUUUUUUAUUAUUAUUCUAAGGUGUGAAAUCACCAGCAUAUUCCAUGUGCUGACCUACAUGGCUGCAACGUCUCAUGUUGCAGACUUUUCCGGCGAGGAUUAAAGGUGCGAUAGGUCGUUGUUCUGCACUCAGUUUGCCGUGGAGUUGGAUGGACUCAUUUACCUUUGAUGCUUCCGCAGUUAUUUUUUUUAGAUGGCCUUUGGCCAUAUUAUUGUAAUAAAUACUCUUUUGAGGAUCUCGAUGUAAUAAAGUGUGUGAUUGAACACUGUUAUAAUUCCUCGAGUA
RNAcentral lists this long non-coding RNA (38715 nucleotides) under Triticum aestivum (bread wheat). RNAcentral describes it as "long non-coding RNA (TAES_LNC012626)". The stretch from base 1975 to 2099 matches the Rfam family "MIR1120/MIR1122 microRNA precursor family". Lineage: Eukaryota; Viridiplantae; Streptophyta; Magnoliopsida; Poales; Poaceae. The record is from RNAcentral.